Long non-coding RNA from Silurus meridionalis, 901 nucleotides. RefSeq lists it as uncharacterized. Lineage: Eukaryota; Metazoa; Chordata; Actinopteri; Siluriformes; Siluridae. The transcript is spliced from 2 exons. The record is from RefSeq and is a predicted model, not a curated record.
UAUACACACAUUUUGUGUUAUAGAGGAGAUUGUUCAGGUAGCAGAACCUGCCUAAAUCCUGUAGGAGUUCUGUAGGAGAAGCCCUCGGGCCAGCUGGAAGACCAGUGCAGGGGAGGUGUGGAGACUCCAUCAACACCAUCAUCAUCAUCAUCAUCACAAGAGCAGCUUAAACAUCUCUAAUUGGAUCUGAGGGAAUUAAUCGUCAUGGCAACGGUACGAGGAAACAGGAACUCGUGUGAAUUUGAUGGCUUUGGUGAGACGUUUCUGCUGAAAUGAGAGACAAGACAUUUCAUCAUUAGAUGGAGACCAGACACUGAAGAGCAUCUCGGAAACAGGUCUUUAAUUCCUGAUGCUGUACUGAUCCUGAGGAAGCUAUUAAAGAAAAUCUCCAACAUUUGACCUUUAAUCAUUCCACAUGAAUCCUACAGACAUCUCAAACAUGACAUGCUAAUGCUAACCAAGCCAUACGCCACAUCAAUGGUAUCGGGACAUCUGACUUUUUUAUGUGAUUCAUCAUCAAACCUUUAGCACAAAGACACAGUUGAAAUUUAAUCUUCACUUGAACUAGGAGACCCAAACCUGUUCCAGCAGGACACUGCCCAAAACCAGCUCCAUGACUUCUGCUUUGGAAUGGAAUGCAAGUGUGUGGAAGAUCUCCUGCUCUAGACCCACAUCCCUGUUGAACAAUGACUGUAAAUGCUGACUGCACCCCAGACCUCCUCACCUUCUCACCUGCAUCAGUACCUGACUUUACCAACGCCCUUGUGUCCAAAAGAACCUCCACAAAUCUCAACACAAUCUAGUGGAACAUCUUCCCAGAAGAGUUAAGCUCAUUAUAACAGCACCUGAAGACUAACUGUGGAAUGAGAUGUUCAUAAAAAAGUGCUCGAGUGACCAGAAA